UCGAGUUACCACUCCCAAACCUUUGUGAACCUAUACCAACGUUGCUUCGGCGUCCAUCCCGGGCGUGGCCACGGCUGCGUCCCGGAUCCAGGUGGGCGCCGGGGGACCCAAACCUCUGUCUUUUAGUGGAUCUCUGAGUGGCAAAAGCGAAUAUCA
Molecule: unclassified non-coding RNA, 156 nt
Filed under: uncultured Sordariomycetes
Lineage: Eukaryota; Fungi; Ascomycota; Sordariomycetes
Description: sequence contains ITS1
Source: RNAcentral